RNAcentral lists this ribosomal RNA (200 nucleotides) under uncultured bacterium. RNAcentral describes it as "partial 16S ribosomal RNA". It matches the Rfam family "Bacterial small subunit ribosomal RNA", at positions 30 to 230 of the family's 1533-position model. The record is from RNAcentral.
AUUGAACGCUGGCGGCAUACCUUACACAUGCAAGUCGAACGGCAGCACGGGAGCAAUCCUGGUGGCGAGUGGCGAACGGGUGAGUAAUAUAUCGGAACGUGCCCAGUCGGGGGGGAUAACGCAGCGAAAGCUGUGCUAAUACCGCAUACGAUCUAUGGAUGAAAGCGGGGGAUCGCAAGACCUCGCGCGAUUGGAGCGGC